Molecule: ribosomal RNA, 490 nt
Filed under: uncultured bacterium
Lineage: Bacteria
Description: partial 16S ribosomal RNA
Rfam family: Bacterial small subunit ribosomal RNA
Source: RNAcentral
AUUGAACGCUGGCGGCAGGCCUAACACAUGCAAGUCGAACGGUAGCAGGAAGCAGCUUGCUGCUUCGCUGACGAGUGGCGGACGGGUGAGUAAUGUCUGGGAAGCUGCCUGAUGGAGGGGGAUAACUACUGGAAACGGUAGCUAAUACCGCAUAAUGUCGCAAGACCAAAGAGGGGGACCUUCGGGCCUCUUGCCAUCGGAUGUGCCCAGAUGGGAUUAGCUUGUUGGUGGGGUAACGGCUCACCAAGGCGACGAUCCCUAGCUGGUCUGAGAGGAUGACCAGCCACACUGGAACUGAGACACGGUCCAGACUCCUACGGGAGGCAGCAGUGGGGAAUAUUGCACAAUGGGCGCAAGCCUGAUGCAGCCAUGCCGCGUGUAUGAAGAAGGCCUUCGGGUUGUAAAGUACUUUCAGCGGGGAGGAAGGGAGUAAAGUUAAUACCUUUGCUCAUUGACGUUACCCGCAGAAGAAGCACCGGCUAACUCCGUG